UAGGCUAUGAAGCACUGGGGAAGUAAUGACCCGUGGAUGACUCCUAACGUCUUUAGGAAGCUUAAUAAUAUACAUGUUCAAUAUAAAUGACCAAUGUGUCAGUAAUUUAAAUCAUGAUAUCAUAGAACUGGAUCACAAGACGAGUAAACUAAUCGACUGUAGCCUUUCUUGGGUGAGACAGGUGUAGGCUUGGCUAUGCAGGAAACCGGCAAUAGCCAAGGCACUACACUUGUUUCUAUAGAUAGGCUAUAAAAAUAACUUCAAGAUGUCAGUGAUUCAAUUAUUUACUUGGCAGGAAUAAAUUCAAUCUUGUAAAGCCACCGGCCAUGUUGUCAUGAUCGCACCACACUGUAAACAUAGCAAGAAGAUUAUGUGAAGUUCAAAGCCCCAACUGACAGACUGACUUCAAAAAGUCCAACGCAAACGAACCGUGCCCCACCGCGGCGCUAAAAGAUUACGGACAACUCGGUGUUUUUGUUUACCCAACCUGGUUUACCUUGUCCUGUCAACAACAACAACAAAAAAUGUAUUCCCACAAAAGCCAAGUAACCCGGUGAAUCUUUGAGAGUGCCAGAAUCUUCCCCCGGCUCCUGCCACAGAUAAAGCAGCUGAGCAGAAACGUAAUCCUGCCCACCAUCUCUCCACAUCUGAUAAUGUUGCCAUAUCGUAACAUAAUGAGCACACAUAUUCUCAGAAGGCCUGGAGCGUUCCUGCAUUGACACUUGCUCCUGAAAAGACAGACUCUCUGUGUGUGUGUGUGUGUGUGUGUGUGUGUGUGUGUGUGUGUGUGUGUGUGUGUGUGUGUGUGUGUGUGUGUGUGUGUGUGUGUGUGUGUGUGUGUGUGUGUGUGUGUGUGUGUGCGCGCGGGCGCGCGUGCGUGUCUGCUGACUCUCUGCCUCUCUCUGGUUGCACAAAGCUGCUGCAGGCAUCAUGUUCCGAAGAGUAACCGUCUGGCGUCGUGUUGAAUACAGACCCAUGUAUUAGAUACAGGCAGACAUGUCCACAGGAAUUGUGAAGCUGUCACACUACUAGCUGAGGGGUGCUGAUUGCAGAGAUUUAUAGAAAACAAUUUUAAAUAUUAUGCCUAUUGCUUUAAGUUAGGAACAUGACUAACAAGUCAAUCCGGUUAUGCUACAUGUGUGUUAAUCUCAUUCAAAGUUGCAUCAUUGCAAUAGGGAAACUUGUUAGAGCAGCUUACAGCACAGACAGAUCAUACUCAAAAUAGCACAACUCACUGGUGACAUUGUAAAGUGCCCUCAAAAAAUAUUCUAAUCAAAGCAGAGAGAAGUCUCGAACUUUCAGUUGCAUCAGAUCCAAUAGGUUAAUCAUACAGAUAUUUUCUGACUCACUAUUACAGGUAAUAGAUUUAAGCCUUUACAUUUAAACCUGAUUUCCUACUUCCUGUUCAUAGCAUAUAUGUCUUUCUUGUUUAGAAAGUAAUUUAAGUCAUAUAAAAGUCAUUGUAUACAUCCCUUUCCUGCAGUCGAUCGCCCUCUAGUGGCCUCAUAGGUGGAAUGUUAUUCAUAUUUUUCAUAAUUAAUAAACUAUGUCGAACUGUUGUGUUAUA
Oncorhynchus nerka (sockeye salmon) is the source of this 1567-nucleotide long non-coding RNA. RefSeq lists it as uncharacterized. The transcript is spliced from 2 exons. Lineage: Eukaryota; Metazoa; Chordata; Actinopteri; Salmoniformes; Salmonidae. The record is from RefSeq and is a predicted model, not a curated record.